AAAAAUGGACUUACCGAGUUUACACUCCCAACCCAAUGUCUGAACGUUACCAAACUGUUGCCUCGGCGGGGUCACGCCCCGGGUGCGUCGCAGCCCCGGAACCAGGCGCCCGCCGGAGGAACCAACCAAACUCUUUCUGUAGUCCCCUCGCGGACGUAUUUCUUACAGCUCUGAGCAAAAAUUCAAAAUGAAUCAAAACUUUCAACAACGGAUCUCUUGGUUCUGGCAUCGAUGAAGAACGCAGCGAAAUGCGAUAAGUAAUGUGAAUUGCAAAAUUCAGUGAAUCAUCAAAUCUUUGAACGCACAUUGCGCCCGCCAGUAUUCUGGCGGGCAUGCCUGUCCAAGCGUCAUUUCACCCCUCAAACCCCUCCGGGGGAUCGGCGUUGGAAAUCGGCCCCCAUGAACGGCGUGCCCGCCACAAAGAAAUAGUGAAUUCCACUUAUUCGUGCGCGGGGCGUGGUUUUGUACUGCGGGGACCCGGGCGCGGGACCGUCCCAAUACACAAAUUUUUUAAUAUUGAAACCGCUGGCCGGGGGUCAAAAUCGGGAUACGACCUAACCUUAGGAUGGACAAGAGAGAAAAGGGA
RNAcentral lists this ribosomal RNA (586 nucleotides) under Trichoderma orientale. RNAcentral's name for it is "eukaryotic LSU rRNA". The stretch from base 197 to 350 matches the Rfam family "5.8S ribosomal RNA". Lineage: Eukaryota; Fungi; Ascomycota; Sordariomycetes; Hypocreales; Hypocreaceae. The record is from RNAcentral.